CUACGUGCCAGCAGCCGCGGUAAUACGUAGGGUGCGAGCGUUAAUCGGAAUUACUGGGCGUAAAGCGGGCGCAGACGGUUACUUAAGCAGGAUGUGAAAUCCCCGGGCUCAACCUGGGAACUGCGUUCUGAACUGGGUGACUAGAGUGUGUCAGAGGGAGGUAGAAUUCCACGUGUAGCAGUGAAAUGCGUAGAGAUGUGGAGGAAUACCGAUGGCGAAGGCAGCCUCCUGGGAUAACACUGACGUUCAUGCCCGAAAGCGUGGGUAGCAAACAGGAUUAGAUACCCUGGUAGUCCACGCCCUAAACGAUGUCGAUCAGCUGUUGGGCAGCAUGACUGCUUAGUAGCGAAGCUAACGCGUGAAAUCGACCGCCUGGGGAGUACGGUCGCAAGAUUAAAACUCAAAGGAAUUGACGGGGACCCGCACAAGCGGUGGAUGAUGUGGAUUAAUUCGAUGCAACGCGAAGAACCUUACCUGGUCUUGACAU
Molecule: ribosomal RNA, 487 nt
Filed under: uncultured bacterium
Lineage: Bacteria
Description: bacterial SSU rRNA
Rfam family: Bacterial small subunit ribosomal RNA
Source: RNAcentral